AGCAGAGCAGAGCAGAGCAGACCUUUAAGUUGGAAGCCCACUGUGCCCCUUUUGGUUUGUACCUUUUGUUUUUUGGUUUUUGCUCUAUUAAGGAGAGGUUAAUUUUGUCUUGUUGAGGUUUAUAGUCGUUUGCUCGUUUUAGAAAUGAGUCGCUAUAAGUUAAGGCCUGUUUGUUAAAGUUGGAGCCCCUUUAGUUAAAGGCCUUUAACUGUACCUGUUUUAAUACAUUGUAGGAUAGUUUCCUCUCUUAGGCCUAGUCCACAAGUAGCUGUUUUUUUUAAACGAAUAUCCGCCCCUCCAAAAACUUGCAUCCACACCACCUCGUUUAAAAAAAAAACUCUGUCCACACGUUCCUGUUGUGUGAUGGGGUGAGUACUCCCUCUUCUCCACAACAUCUUUGUAAGACUGUCAUUCCAGGAGAGGGCACUCACCAGCUGUGGGACAUUACCGAUCAGCGGCAGCUGCAGAUCCUCUAAUCAACCGCAGCAGAGCUCUAUUUAAGAGGAGAGGGAACCACUUCACAUGGCUGGAUGAUUAACUACUCACUGAUACUUGGAAUCGCUGAACCACAGAUGGAUGUACCUACCUGGAAGUCACCAUAACCCGCCUGGAUUACACACUCAAGGUUCACCUCUCCUCCAGCUUCACUUGCCCUCUGCCGCCAUCAUCUGGCUCCCUCUCCUGGACGUACCCCGUCACACCGUUUGCCCUCCCUGCUGGCUUUUGGACUCUUGCCGACUACUUCACACUUGGAUAUCUCCAGGACACUUUUAGUUAGGGUUAAUAAAUCAUUGUUUGAACUUUC
This is a long non-coding RNA of Nothobranchius furzeri (turquoise killifish), 805 nucleotides long. RefSeq lists it as uncharacterized. Lineage: Eukaryota; Metazoa; Chordata; Actinopteri; Cyprinodontiformes; Nothobranchiidae. The record is from RefSeq and is a predicted model, not a curated record.